Non-coding RNA from Anas platyrhynchos (mallard), 356 nucleotides. The record is from RefSeq and is a predicted model, not a curated record. NCBI's taxonomy places the organism in Eukaryota, Metazoa, Chordata, Aves, Anseriformes, Anatidae.
CGUGAGGACCCCCCCACGCCCCCUCCUGCUACCGCUUCGAUGCUGUUUACGCCGCCGCCAGCUCCACCGCCGCCGUCUACGAGGGCUCCGUCCGCCCGCUGCUGGCCCAGUUCCUGGCCGGCCGCGACGUCACCAUUCUCGCCUACGGGCCCAGCGGCUCCGGGAAGACUCACACCAUGCUGGGCGGUGAAGGGGAGCCCGGCUUGGUGCAGCGCGCCCUCGAGGAGCUUCUGCAGGCCGUGGGGGCCGGCCGCCGCCUCAGCGUGGCCUGCAUGGAGGUGUACUGCGAGGAGGUGCAGCCUGGUCCCUGCUGGGCACUGCUUGGGUGCUCCCCAGCGCUGUCCUUCUGUGGCCAG